This 150-nucleotide ribosomal RNA is filed under the name uncultured bacterium. Its description in RNAcentral is "partial 16S ribosomal RNA". It matches the Rfam family "Bacterial small subunit ribosomal RNA", at positions 355 to 501 of the family's 1533-position model. The record is from RNAcentral.
UGAGGAAUAUUGGUCAAUGGGCGAGAGCCUGAACCAGCCAAGUAGCGUGCAGGAUGACGGCCCUAUGGGUUGUAAACUGCUUUUAUGCGGGGAUAAAGUCAGGUACGUGUGCCUUUUUGUAUGUACCGCAUGAAUAAGGGGCCGGCUAAU